UUUAAUAAUAGAUCACAACAUUUGUUUCUGCACCAUAGACAAGCUUUGAGUUGCUGAGUUUAUAUUCAUAUACCAUUAUAGAAGAUCAUUCAUUAUAAUUACGAUAGAGUUGCAUGUUUUUCCGCUACAUUGUAUUCCACCUGAUGAAGUGCCUCCUCUUAAAAGAGUCCCAUUAUAAAGUACAACCCAUUUGUUGUUUGGUUUCCCAUUCCUAUGAGAUUCGACUCCUCCCAUUUCAAUUAUCUCCGUCUGAAAUAAAAUAGUAAUUUUCCCCUUUAAGCGAAAGAAAAAAAAUCAAGUAUCUGUGAUUAUAAAAUAUCCCAUAAAAAUACGGUGAUAAUUUCUAUCUUUCAGUCCAUGGCGCUCUGAAAGUUGCAUAAAUGAUUAAGGGGAUAAAAAGGAAAGUAAGAAAAA
Molecule: long non-coding RNA, 414 nt
Organism: Octopus sinensis (East Asian common octopus)
Lineage: Eukaryota; Metazoa; Mollusca; Cephalopoda; Octopoda; Octopodidae
Exons: 2
Source: RefSeq, a predicted model, not a curated record